CCCUUAGAUGUCCUGGGCCGCACGCGUGCUACACUGACACUUACACCGAGUUUUUCCGGCCCCGAGAGGUGGCUGGUAAUCAGUAAUAGGUGUCGUGAUGGGGAUAGAUCUUUGGAAUUAUUGAUCUUGAACGAGGAAUGCCUAGUAAUCGUAGGUCAUCAGCCUGCGAUGAUUACGUCCCUGCCCUUUGUACACACCGCCCGUCGCUCCUACCGAUUUCGAGUGGUCCGGUGAACCUUUCGGACAGAGAGAGUCUCGUACAAUCUCUGAAAGUCAAGUAAACCACAUCACUUAGAGGAAGGAGAANUCGUAACA
This 315-nucleotide ribosomal RNA is filed under the name uncultured eukaryote. Its description in RNAcentral is "partial 18S ribosomal RNA". It matches the Rfam family "Eukaryotic small subunit ribosomal RNA", at positions 1470 to 1796 of the family's 1831-position model. The record is from RNAcentral.